Molecule: long non-coding RNA, 795 nt
Filed under: Homo sapiens (human)
Lineage: Eukaryota; Metazoa; Chordata; Mammalia; Primates; Hominidae
Description: HSALNT0054434
Source: RNAcentral
CUACACUCCCCAGCAUUCCUUGGCCUUAAACUCCAUCCAGCCAGGUCUCCCAGGGCAGGGCCAUGCUGUGGGCUCCAAGGGGGGUGCUUCCUAGUCCCAGGUCUUAGGGAAGACCUGGGGACCAAGUCUCAAGGGGCCCUGCCUUGUGGGCUAUGAGAUGGACAUGGAGUGGGCUUGUAGGGGCUGAAGCCCCUCCAUGCCAACUGGCUCAUAAAGACACUGGCCAAGGCCCCCUGGGCUACAGAGGCACAGCUCUUUGCUGUGGCUGCCUGUCUUGGGUCAAGAAAGCGCUGCAGACCUGGCCAGGGCAGGAGUGACUGGUUAAGGGCCUGGGGUCCUGUCCUUUGCCAUCAGGUCUAGCCAGGCCAGAGAGCUCUAAGGUUACUGUAUCCUCAGGCUUUGUGUCCUACCUGUGGUCCUCAGGAUGGACCAAUGGGCCAUGACCUUUCUCCUGUCCCUCAGCACAGCCCCCAGGCUCCACAUCUCCCCAGGGAGCCAGGAGUCAAGGAGUCCAGCCCAGACCACAUGGAAUUCACAAAGCCCCCUGUGCCUCCCAGCCCAGCCUGCAAGAUGCUAGGAAGGCUGGAAAAGGCACUGGGACAGGGGUGAGCACAGAGGCCACAAGAGAAAGCCAGGCAGAGGGAAGGAAAGGGGCAAGGAGAGAGGAACAGAGGCAGGAGGAGGUGGCAGCAGGUGGCAGGAUGGCGAUGGGAAGGUGCACACAGGCCUACUUCCAGCUACACACUGCACACGUGACUUCCUGCACACACAAGGGUGCACACACAGCUCUGAACA